AUGAACGCUAGCGGCAGGCUUAACACAUGCAAGUCGAGGGGCAUCGAGAGAGUAGCAAUACUUUUGUCGGCGACCGGCGGACGGGUGCGUAACGCGUAUGCAACCUACCUUAUACAGGGGGAUAACCUUUCGAAAGGGAGACUAAUACCGCAUAACAUUACUUUGAGGCAUCUUGAGGUAAUUAAAUCUUCGGAGGUAUAAGAUGGGCAUGCGUAGCAUUAGCUAGAUGGUGCGGUAACGGCGUACCAUGGCGACGAUGCUUAGGGGUUCUGAGAGGAAGGUCCCCCACACUGGUACUGAGAUACGGACCAGACUCCUACGGGAGGCAGCAGUGAGGAAUAUUGGUCAAUGGUCGGAAGACUGAACCAGCCAUGCCGCGUGCAGGAAGAAUGUCUUAUGGAUUGUAAACUGCUUUUGUAUGGGAAUAAUAAUAGCUUUGCGAAGUUAGAUGCAUGUACCAUACGAAUAAGGAUCGGCUAACUCCGUG
This 487-nucleotide ribosomal RNA is filed under the name uncultured bacterium. RNAcentral describes it as "bacterial SSU rRNA". It matches the Rfam family "Bacterial small subunit ribosomal RNA", at positions 29 to 507 of the family's 1533-position model. The record is from RNAcentral.